GCAUAUCAAUAAGCGGAGGAAAAGAAACCAACAGGGAUUGCCCUAGUAACGGCGAGUGAAGCGGCAACAGCUCAAAUUUGAAAUCUGGCUUCGGCCCGAGUUGUAAUUUGCAGAGGAAGCUUUAGGCGCGGCACCUCCUGAGUCCCCUGGAACGGGGCGCCACAGAGGGUGAGAGCCCCGUAUAGUUGGAUGCCUAGCCUGUGUAAAGCUCCUUCGACGAGUCGAGUAGUUUGGGAAUGCUGCUCAAAAUGGGAGGUAAAUUUCUUCUAAAGCUAAAUACCGGCCAGAGACCGAUAGCGCACAAGUAGAGUGAUCGAAAGAUGAAAAGCACUUUGAAAAGAGGGUUAAAUAGCACGUGAAAUUGUUGAAAGGGAAGCGCUUGUGACCAGACUUGCGCCGGGCUGAUCAUCCGGUGUUCUCACCGGUGCACUCUGCCCGGCUCAGGCCAGCAUCGGUUCUCGCGGGGGGAUAAAGGCCCUGGGAACGUAGCUCCUCCGGGAGUGUUAUAGCCCGGGGCGCAAUGCCCUCGCGGGGACCGAGGUUCGCGCUCUGCAAGGAUGCUGGCGUAAUGGUCAUCAGCGACCCGUCUUGAAACACGGACCAAGGAGUCAAGGUUUUGCGCGAGUGUUUGGGUGUAAAACCCGCACGCGUAAUGAAAGUGAACGUAGGUGAGAGCUUCGGCGCAUCAUCGACCGAUCCUGAUGUUCUCGGAUGGAUUUGAGUAGGAGCGUUAAGCCUUGGACCCGAAAGAUGGUGAACUAUGCUUGGAUAGGGUGAAGCCAGAGGAAACUCUGGUGGAGGCUCGCAGCGGUUCUGACGUGYAAAUCGAUCGUCAAAUCUGAGCAUGGGGGCGAAAGACUAAUCGAACCAUCUAGUAGCUGGUUACCGCCGAAG
This 894-nucleotide ribosomal RNA is filed under the name Chrysocorona lucknowensis. RNAcentral describes it as "partial large subunit ribosomal RNA". It matches the Rfam family "Eukaryotic large subunit ribosomal RNA", at positions 38 to 966 of the family's 3401-position model. The record is from RNAcentral. Lineage: Eukaryota; Fungi; Ascomycota; Sordariomycetes; Sordariales; Chaetomiaceae.